Long non-coding RNA from Condylura cristata (star-nosed mole), 1782 nucleotides. RefSeq lists it as uncharacterized. The transcript has 3 exons. Lineage: Eukaryota; Metazoa; Chordata; Mammalia; Eulipotyphla; Talpidae. The record is from RefSeq and is a predicted model, not a curated record.
GCCGCGCUCAGGCCCGGCCCGCUGCUUCCUCCCGGCGCCUAGGCCCUGCCCAGGCGGUCGCAGCCUCGGUUUCCUCUCCCCAGAGAUGAAGGUGAUCGCGACGCCCAGGCCCCGAAGCAGGAGGGCUGCCGGACACCGGGAAGCCACCAGGACGGUCCUCCCGUAAAAUGCCUGGAAUGGACACACCAUGCUGGGAGCCACAGCAGCGACCCUGGCGCGUGAGGCUAGGCAGAGGACAGAGGCCGGCACCGACAAGUAGAGUCAGAUGUUAAAGACAGAAGGCAGUAGGCUCCCCUUCACUGCAGAAUGCCUGUAUGCAAACUAUACACUGCAGACGCUGUCUUGUUUAAAACGCUUAGGAAAUCCCUAUGUUUUGUUGAAGGCUCACUGUGCUGCUUGGCUGAAGUUUAGUGGUAUUAUCCAUCCUUUCACCAGUUACUGCGGCUGGGAGGCUGAGAGAUGGCUCUCAGGUCACUCUCCGCAGUCAAGAGGCAUCCUUGAGGUCAACGCUGCAGAAACUCAUGGAUACGAUGGAGUGGGCUAGCCUGGAUGCUAGGAGAACCUGCCCAUGGUCUCCCACUUCCCUUUGUCUGAUCUUAGUCUCUUGGAUGGACUCCUGAGUAUGAUGAGGAGCCCAAAGAAGAGCUUCAAUGUGACAGAGUUUUGAUUUUUCUCCAUUCAAAGAAGAACGCAGUUCAAGGCCAGCUGGGAAAUUCCUCCUCCUUAAAGGCUCAGUCUCUUUUUUGCUUCAACAGCUGCGUUCAAGGUCAUCAUAGCACAAGGUGGCUUCUGGAGUUUCAUAGUCCAGACAGGAAGUAGGAAGGGUAAAGGUCACUUGUCCCAGUGAGUGACACCCCCCUUUUUAAAAAUGGAACCAUUGAGUUCAUUGUCCAAACUUGAACAUUGGAUGAGUUAGGAAGAGGAUGCUUUUAGCAAUUAUUCACCAGGGCAACAGGUAAAAAACAGGAAAUGCUCCAGACAAAUUGGGACAAAUCAUCCUGGCACUGGUACUGAAAAUCCUACUCAGAAGGCUCUUCUAGUGCACAGCAACUUCUACAUAAGUCACUGCAAAAUAAAUUUGGGGGUUUCUCUCUUCCUGAGUGCAUUACUAAGUCCGAUAAAAACCUGGGUUUGUGAGCAAGACAGGAAGAGAAGGAGAUGGCUGUGGAGUCGUUCAUUAGCAACUUUGGUCACCAGCCCUGAAUCAGCACUGUUUGUGACCUGAAUUUCACAGUUUUUAUGAAAUGCCUCCUUUUGACUCUGGGCUCUCACUCUUCCUUCCAAAGGCACUCAAAAUAAUGUGUGAACCAUGGCCAGGGCCAAAGCCAUCUUGGUCGUCAUCUUUCCUCUCUCCUUCAUUUUCCAGCAUCUUCCACCGGCUAGGAGUCAUAAGAUCCCCGGGAAGUCGCCUGAGAAAUCUGUGUCCCAGGCAGAAUUAUCUCUUGAGGAUAAACUCUCAGAUGUGCUGUGAGGAACCCAACAGGAAUAAAAGACACUCCUAUCACUAGGGAAAUUUUAAAUGUUCAGAGGUUACCUCCCAGAAGAAGACAAAGCUCAAAUUUCUUUGCAGGUGAGGUCAAAGUCCUUAUUACAAACGCUGUAAACAUAGAUGAGAAAUCAUUCACUAAAAUAUCAGAAAUGUUUCAAGCAUAGUAUAAGUAAAAUGUCUAACAUGAUGCAUGUUACUGCAGCUGGUUUUACAAGGCAACCCCGAUAUGAAAUAGGUUGCCAGGCUGUGGGUCCUCACCGGUGCACUUAAAGGGACUUACACGAAGACCCAAC